CCCUUAGAUGUUCUGGGCUGCACGCGCGCUACACUGAAGCUAUCAACACGUUUUCCCUCCCUGAGAAGGGCGGGUAACCUUUUGAAUCAGCUUCGUGGUAGGGAUCGGGGCUUGCAAUUGUUCCCCGUGAACCAGGAAUUCCUAGUAGACGCGAGUCAUAAGCUCGCAUCGAUUAAGUCCCUGCCCUUUGUACACACCGCCCGUCGCUACUACCGAUUGAACGUUUAGUGAGGCAUUUGGACCGACGCAUCUCAGUUUAACCGCUGGUUUGUGUUGGAAAGACUUCCAAACUUGAGCGUUUAGAGGAAGUAAAAGUCGUAACA
RNAcentral lists this ribosomal RNA (323 nucleotides) under uncultured eukaryote. Its description in RNAcentral is "partial 18S ribosomal RNA". It matches the Rfam family "Eukaryotic small subunit ribosomal RNA", at positions 1470 to 1796 of the family's 1831-position model. The record is from RNAcentral.